Ursus americanus (American black bear) is the source of this 105-nucleotide small nuclear RNA. The record is from Ensembl. NCBI's taxonomy places the organism in Eukaryota, Metazoa, Chordata, Mammalia, Carnivora, Ursidae.
GCGCUUGCUUCAGCAGCACAUACACUAAAAUUGGAACAAUACAGAGAAGAUAGUAUGGCCCCUGUGCAAGGACGACAUGCAAACUGAAAAGUGUUCCACAUUAAA